This 124-nucleotide ribosomal RNA is filed under the name Alphaproteobacteria bacterium. RNAcentral's name for it is "partial 23S ribosomal RNA". It matches the Rfam family "Bacterial large subunit ribosomal RNA", at positions 2790 to 2925 of the family's 2925-position model. Lineage: Bacteria; Pseudomonadati; Pseudomonadota; Alphaproteobacteria. The record is from RNAcentral.
AAGCCCCCCUCAAAACCAGGUCUCCCUUGAGGGCCGUGGAAGACCACCACGUCGAUAGGCCGGAGAUGUAAGCGCAGCAAUGCGUUCAGUUGACCGGUACUAAUGGCCCGAUUGGCUUGAUUUG